This 460-nucleotide ribosomal RNA is filed under the name uncultured bacterium. Its description in RNAcentral is "partial 16S ribosomal RNA". It matches the Rfam family "Bacterial small subunit ribosomal RNA", at positions 338 to 795 of the family's 1533-position model. The record is from RNAcentral.
CCUACGGGGGGCAGCAGUGAGGAAUAUUGGUCAAUGGGCGUAAGCCUGAACCAGCCAAGUCGCGUGAGGGAUGAAGGUUCUAUGGAUCGUAAACCUCUUUUAUAAGGGAAUAAAGUGUGGGACGUGUCCUGUUUUGUAUGUACCUUAUGAAUAAGGAUCGGCUAACUCCGUGCCAGCAGCCGCGGUAAUACGGAGGAUCCGAGCGUUAUCCGGAUUUAUUGGGUUUAAAGGGUGCGUAGGCGGCCUUUUAAGUCAGCGGUGAAAGUCUGUGGCUCAACCAUAGAAUUGCCGUUGAAACUGGGAGGCUUGAGUAUGGUUGAGGCAGGCGGAAUGCGUGGUGUAGCGGUGAAAUGCUUAGAUAUCACGCAGAACCCCGAGUGCGAAGGCAGCCUGCCAAGCCAUGACUGACGCUGAUGCACGAAAGCGUGGGGAUCAAACAGGAUUAGAUACCCCAGUAGUC